This 484-nucleotide ribosomal RNA is filed under the name uncultured bacterium. RNAcentral describes it as "partial 16S ribosomal RNA". It matches the Rfam family "Bacterial small subunit ribosomal RNA", at positions 29 to 523 of the family's 1533-position model. The record is from RNAcentral.
AGUGAACGCUGGCGGCGUGCUUAACACAUGCAAGUCGAACGAGAACGGAUUAUAGCUUGCUAUAAUUGUCAGCUAAGUGGCGCACGGGUGAGUAAUGUAUAGGUAAUAUGCCUCUUACUAAGGGAUAACAAAUGGAAACGUUUGCUAAUACCUUAUACUCCUUAUUAACAGAAGUUAAUAAGGGAAAGAUUUAUUGGUAAGAGAUUAGCCUGUAUUGUAUCAGUUAGUUGGUGGGGUAAUGGCUUACCAGGACUAUGACACAUAACUGGUUUGGGAGGAUGAUCAGUCACACUGGAACUAAGACACGGUCCAGACUCCUACGGGAGGCAGCAGUGGGGAAUAUUGCACAAUGGACGAAAGUCUGAUGCAGCAACGCCGCGUGGAGGAUGUCACAUUUCGGUGCGUAAACUCCUUUUAUAUGAGAAGAUAAUGACGGUAUUAUAUGAAUAAGCACCGGCUAACUCCGUGCCAGCCGCCGCCGUAA